Molecule: unclassified non-coding RNA, 1806 nt
Filed under: Leishmania donovani
Lineage: Eukaryota; Euglenozoa; Kinetoplastea; Trypanosomatida; Trypanosomatidae
Description: gene:LdHU3.22.1450(CDS-product:Metallo-beta-lacta mase_superfamily/Beta-lactamase_superfamily_domain_containi ng_protein_putative)
Source: RNAcentral
ACGAGAGGCAUCCGACGGUACAUCGGCAUGAGUUCUGCCUUCGCCAUUCAGCAUUCCCAUAUCGCCAGCCAGCCGGUGCAGGCACCGCCGCCAGGGUACAUGAUCCUGACCGUCGUCGGCUCCGGCGUCUCUACUGGUGUACCGGUCAUUGGGCACCUAGGGCUCGGCUGCGCAUGCGAGCACGCCGUCGCUGACCCAAGCGGGCCCAACUGUCGCAACAACAUCAGCCUCCUCAUCACGCUUCCCCGCUGCGACCUUCCCGACUUGCCAGUGGCGCAAACGGGGUCGACGACGGCGGCAGGCACAAAGGAUUCCGAGAACGACGGCGGAAAUAGUCGCGGCGGCGGCGCUGCCGGCGCCGCAUCGGCAACGGCGUUCCGCCCGUCACACUCGUUCUUUGCAGCGGAGCGCGCCGGCAACUACAUUGGCACAAAGCCUGUUGCGCACAUUCUCAUUGACUGCGGCAAGACGUUCCGUGACGCGUACUUCAAGGUAAUGAUCCGGUGCAACAUCCGCACUGUGGACACGCUGCUGCUGACGCACGGGCAUGCGGACGCGGUGGCCGGCCUCGACGACCUUCGUGAUCUACAAACGAUGCACAUGGUCUCCACUGGGGACUGGGUGAUCGACAGUUUUGUGCCUACCUACCUCUCCCCCAGCACGCUGAAGACGCUGGAAAAGUCGGUUGACUACAUUAUUCGAAACAGCGUGAAGAGCGGGCACGCAAUGUCGACGCCAUCGGAGCACGCCGCGCAGCUUGCCGAGCGUCAGCAGCAACGCGAAGCGCAGGCGGUGGCCAACGGCACGGCGCACAAGGAGGGCGGCUGGCGCAAUAUUGGCAUCCGCCGCAGCACAGCGCUAGACCUCUUCUGCAUGGAUGAAGAGCGGCCGCUGAGAAUGCAUCUCCCCAUCACCGCCACCGCGGCGACGGCGGGCGGCACCGACGCCGCGAGUGACCUGCCCUUCUACUCCUUCCCAGUGGAGCACGGAAAGGGCUACGUCUCCAUGGCGUGGGUGUUCGGCCGUGGCACCGCCUUCAAGAGCCGGCAAACACAGCAGCAGGGGCAGCAGCAGGAGGAGGGGAGCUGCGUCGUGUACAUCUCAGACGUGAGCCACAUUCCGGCGACCUCGAUGGCGUUCCUGCAAGACCUCGUGAAGAUCGAUGUCCUUUUCGUGGACUGCCUCUCCCCAAGUGGGCGCGUGAGUCCCGUCCACUACUGCGAGGAUGGCAUGAUGGAUCUGGUCGUGGCCCUGAAGCCUCGACACGUUUUUGGUGUCGGCAUGCACUGUGCGCUGGAGCACUUCAAGUGGAUGGCGGAGCUUCAGAAAGCCUUGGGCAGUCAAGUCGCCGCUGGUCAUCUGCGGGCAGGCGAGGUGCAGUGUGUUGAGCUUAGCUAUGAUGGCAUGCAGGUGUUAUUGCCGCAGUGACGGGAGGAGAGGAGAAGAGGGGAACGCCACGCCUCUGCUUGCACAUUGGCAUCUCUUCCCCCCCCAUGUACUCUCCAACUGCAGUGUAUAUGCGUAUGUGUAUCUCGUCGGGCAUACAAUCGUAUUUCUGUGCCACUUUCAGCCAGACAGAGAGAGAGAGCAUGUGUGUGUGGGGGGGGGGGGGGAGGGGGCGACGAGAGUGCGCUCUGUCUUGCUGUGCGGGGACCCUCCCCCCUAGUUUGCCUCCACAGAUGUUCGCGCGCUGGGCUGAUGCAACCCCCUGCACGCUGACGUGCGUUUCCUCCUCCCUCGUAGAGCUUGGUGUGCUUGAAGCCCCACCCCCUCCCGAGACAACGGUUUUUCACCCCUCCCUCCCAG